CGAGACGGGGUCCGCACGCCGGGGUAAAGCUGGCAGCUGUAGUUGUAGCGUGUUUUAUUGGGCCUAAAGCGUUCGUAGCCUGUUUGAUAAGGCUUUGGUGAAAGCUUGUAGCUUAACUAUAAGAAUUGCUGAAGAUACUGUCCGACUUGAAGUCGGGAGAGGUUAGAGGUACUACCGGGGUAGGGGUGAAAUCCUAUAAUCCUGGGAGGACCACCUGUGGCGAAGGCGUCUAACUGGAACGAUCUUGACGGUGAGUAACGAAAGCCAGGGGCGCGAACCGGAUUAGAUACCCUGGUAGUC
This 300-nucleotide ribosomal RNA is filed under the name uncultured Armatimonas sp. RNAcentral's name for it is "bacterial SSU rRNA". It matches the Rfam family "Archaeal small subunit ribosomal RNA", at positions 447 to 746 of the family's 1478-position model. Lineage: Bacteria; Bacillati; Armatimonadota; Armatimonadia; Armatimonadales; Armatimonadaceae. The record is from RNAcentral.